This 2209-nucleotide ribosomal RNA is filed under the name Gamsylella arcuata. Its description in RNAcentral is "eukaryotic LSU rRNA". The stretch from base 1 to 1063 matches the Rfam family "Eukaryotic small subunit ribosomal RNA", at positions 643 to 1831 of the family's 1831-position model. Lineage: Eukaryota; Fungi; Ascomycota; Orbiliomycetes; Orbiliales; Orbiliaceae. The record is from RNAcentral.
GGCACCACCAGAUGUAAACCGUAGUUAACUCUGCAUCACAAAGCCGCCUCCUGGAGUUGACUCUCCGGGAAGGUCUGAACACCUGUGCCGGUUCAAAAGUGCUAGUCCGACCGUGAAAAAGUCGGGCGACACUCCCAAAUUGCGGGAAACUCCUAAAGCUGCUUGUACACCAAGUUGGACUGGCGACAGUCCAAUGGCCGGCUCGAAAGGGACCGGGUAAGGUAAUAGCUGAAGCAGAUGCAACAAUGGAUGAUCCGCAGCCAAGCGACUGGUUAUUGAGAACGCCAGUCGAAGGUUCAGAGACUAGAUGGGAGUGGGUUGUGCUUCUCACUUGAAAGCGCUACGCCUACAGUUUUGAAUUCAAGUGACACGAAAAAGCUCGGCUUGAGGUAUAGUCCAGCCGCGUACCAAAGUACGCGGAACAGGCAAUGGGAGCCUGCGGCUUAAUUUGACUCAACACGGGGAAACUCACCAGGUCCAGACACAUUAAGGAUUGACAGAUUGAGAGCUCUUUCUUGAUUAUGUGGGUGGUGGUGCAUGGCCGUUCUUAGUUGGUGGAGUGAUUUGUCUGCUUAAUUGCGAUAACGAACGAGACCUUAACCUGCUAAAUAGCCAGGCUAGCUUUUGCUGGUCGCCGGCUUCUUAGAGGGACUAUCGGCUCAAGCCGAUGGAAGUUUGAGGCAAUAACAGGUCUGUGAUGCCCUUAGAUGUUCUGGGCCGCACGCGCGCUACACUGACAGAGCCAACGAGUAUAAACCUUAACCGAGAGGUUUGGGUAAUCUUGUUAAACUCUGUCGUGCUGGGGAUAGGGCAUUGCAAUUAUUGCCCUUCAACGAGGAAUAUCUAGUAAGCGCAAGUCAUCAGCUUGCGUUGAUUACGUCCCUGCCCUUUGUACACACCGCCCGUCGCUACUACCGAUUGAAUGGCUCAGUGAGGCCUUCGGACUGGCUCCAGGAGGUCGGCAACGACCACCCAGAGCCGGAAAGUUGGUCAAACUUGGUCAUUUAGAGGAAGUAAAAGUCGUAACAAGGUUUCCGUAGGUGAACCUGCGGAAGGAUCAUUACCAAAACAUAGCUGUCUGGCUGCAAAGCCGUGACGCUUCAACCCUUUGUGAACCAAAAAACCUUUCGCUUCGGCAGCUGCGCGGUUGGCUUUCCAGCCGCUGCUUAAGCCUGCCGGUGGCACCAACCAAAUAAACUUGCUUUAUAAAAUAUGUCUGAUAACCAAAUUUUCGAAUGAAAAUUAAAACUUUCAACAACGGAUCUCUUGGUUCCCGCAUCGAUGAAGAACGCAGCGAAACGCGAUAGUUAAUGUGAAUUGCAGAAUUCAGUGAAUCAUCGAAUCUUUGAACGCACAUUGCGCCCAUCGGUAUUCCGUUGGGCAUGUCUGUUUGAGCGUCAUUACAACCCUCGACACCUGUCGGUUUUGAACCAGAGCGGUGAAACACCCGCCUUGGUUUUAAAGUUGUAAGCUCUGCUGGCUGCUCUGCCCAACCAAAACAUAGUAAAAAACAUACUUGUUGAAGGUGAAGCCGAAGCGGUACGGCCUGAACAAAACCUACCCAUUUCUAGUGUUUGACCUCAGAUCAGAUAAGGAUACCCGCUGAACUUAAGCAUAUCAAUAAGCGGAGGAAAAGAAACCAACAGGGAUUGCCUCAGUAACGGCGAGUGAAGCGGCAACAGCUCAAAUUUGAAAUCUGGGGCCUUCGGCUUCCGAGUUGUAAUUUGAAGAGGAUGUUUCGGUUGUGACCUGGGCCUAAGUUCCUUGGAACAGGACGUCAUGGAGGGUGAGAAUCCCGUACAUGGCUGCAGGUUUACUUCCAUGUGAAACUCCUUCGAAGAGUCGAGUUGUUUGGGAAUGCAGCUCUAAAUGGGUGGUAAAUUUCAUCUAAAGCUAAAUAUUGGCGGGAGACCGAUAGCGCACAAGUAGAGUGAUCGAAAGAUGAAAAGCACUUUGAAAAGAGAGUUAAACAGUACGUGAAAUUGUUGAAAGGGAAGCGCUUGCAAUCAGACUCGCCUUCAGUUGAUCAACGUUCCUUCUGGUGCGUGCACUCUGCUGUUGGCGGGCCAGCAUCAGUUGGGGCGGCGGGACAAAGGCGGCAGGAAUGUGGCUCUCUUCGGGGAGUGUUAUAGCCUGCUGUGCAAUGCCGCCAGCUCCGACUGAGGUCCGCGGUUCUGCCUAGGAUGCUGGCUUAAUGGUUGUAAGCGAC